ACGCUGGCGGUGUGCCUAAUACAUGCAAGUCNAACGGAGAGCUUCUAGUAAUUUAUUACUGGAGGAAUUCUUAGUGGCGAACGGGUGAGUAACGCGUUGGUGACCUACCCCAAAGAGCGGGAUAACAGCUUGAAAGGGCUGCUAAUACCGCAUGUGGUCUUCCAGGUUAGAUACUGGUUGACGAAAGGGAGCAAUCCGCUUUGGGAGGGGCCUGCGUCCCAUCAGCUAGUUGGUAGGGUAAAAGCCUACCAAGGCGAAGACGGGUAGGGGACCUGAGAGGGUGACCCCCCACAAUGGAACUGAAACACGGUCCAUACACCUACGGGUGGCAGCAGUAGGGAAUAUUGCCCAAUGGACGAAAGUCUGAGGCAGCAACACCGCGUGUGUGAAGAAGGCCUUCGGGUCGUAAAGCACUUUUCUGAGGGAAGAGAAAGGACGGUACCUCAGGAAUAAGGAUCGGCUAACUACGUGCCAGCAGCCGCGGUAAAACGUAGGAUCCGAGCGUUAUCCGAAUUUACUGGGCGUAAAGCGCGUGUAGGCGGCUCGAUAAGUUGGAUGUGAAAGCUCCUGGCUCAACUGGGAGAGGACGUUCAAUACUGUCAGGCUAGAGGGCGGCAGAGGGAGGUGGAAUUCCCGGUGUAGUGGUGAAAUGCGUAGAUAUCGGGAGGAACACCAGAGGCGAAGGCGGCCUCCUGGGCCGCGCCUGACGCUGAGACGCGAAAGCUAGGGUAGCAAACGGGAUUAGAAACCCCGGUAGUCCUAGCCGUAAACGAUGUAGACUUGGUGUCGGUGGUGUAAAAACCAUCGGUGCCGCAGCUAACGCGGUAAGUCUACCGCCUGG
This 841-nucleotide ribosomal RNA is filed under the name uncultured bacterium. Its description in RNAcentral is "bacterial SSU rRNA". It matches the Rfam family "Bacterial small subunit ribosomal RNA", at positions 33 to 876 of the family's 1533-position model. The record is from RNAcentral.